Molecule: long non-coding RNA, 204 nt
Organism: Varanus komodoensis (Komodo dragon)
Lineage: Eukaryota; Metazoa; Chordata; Lepidosauria; Squamata; Varanidae
Exons: 4
Source: RefSeq, a predicted model, not a curated record
AACGGAACACAAUAUUCCAGGUGAGGUCUGACUAGUGAGGAGUAUAGAGGAACUACUACUUCUUGUGAUUUGGAAGUAAUAUUCUGUUAAUGCAUCCCAAAAUAGCAUUUACCCUUUUGGUGGCUGCAGCGCAUUGUUGGCUCCUGUUUAGCCCAUGGUCCACGAUUACUCCAAUGUCUUUCCCUUUUGCUGUUCCCUUGAGCU